AUUGAUGUACGGAUUAUUGGGCGUAAGAGCUCGUAGGCGGUUUGUCGCGUCUGCCGUGAAAGUCCGGGGCUCAACUCCGGAUCUGCGGUGGGUACGGGCAGACUAGAGUGAUGUAGGGGAGACUGGAAUUCCUGGUGUAGCGGUGAAAUGCGCAGAUAUCAGGAGGAACACCGAUGGCGAAGGCAGGUCUCUGGGCAUUAACUGACGCUGAGGAGCGAAAGCAUGGGGAGCGAACAGGAUUAGAUACCCUGGUAGUCCAUGCCGUAAACGUUGGGCACUAGGUGUGGGGGACAUUCCACGUUUUCCGCGCCGUAGCUAACGCAUUAAGUGCCCCGCCUGGGGAGUACGGCCGCAAGGCUAAAACUCAAAGGAAUUGACGGGGGCCCGCACAAGCGGCGGAGCAUGCGGAUUAAUUCGAUGCAACGCGAAGAACCUUACCAAGGCUUGACAUGGGCCGGACCGGGUUGGAAACAGUCCUUCCCCUUUGGGGCCGGUUCACAGGUGGUGCAUGGUUGUCGUCAGCUCGUGUCGUGAGAUGUUGGGUUAAGUCCCGCAACGAGCGCAACCCUCGUUCCAUGUUGCCAGCGCGUAAUGGCGGGGACUCAUGGGAGACUGCCGGGGUCAACUCGGAGGAAGGUGGGGACGACGUCAAAUCAUCAUGCCCCUUAUGUCUUGGGCUUCACGCAUGCUACAAUGGCCGGUACAAAGGGUUGCGAUACUGUGAGGUGGAGCUAAUCCCAAAAAGCCGGUCUCAGUUCGGAUUGGGGUCUGCAACUCGACCCCAUGAAGUCGGAGUCGCUAGUAAUCGCAGAUCAGCAACGCUGCGGUGAAUACGUUCCCGGGCCUUGUACACACCGCCCGUCAAGUCACGAAAGUUGGUAACACCCGAAGCCGGUGGCCUAACCCCUUGUGGGAGGGAGCUGUCGAAGGUGGGACUGGCGAUUGGGACUAAGUCGUAACAAGGUAACC
RNAcentral lists this ribosomal RNA (969 nucleotides) under uncultured bacterium. RNAcentral's name for it is "bacterial SSU rRNA". It matches the Rfam family "Bacterial small subunit ribosomal RNA", at positions 537 to 1501 of the family's 1533-position model. The record is from RNAcentral.